Molecule: non-coding RNA, 73 nt
Organism: Parelaphostrongylus tenuis
Lineage: Eukaryota; Metazoa; Nematoda; Chromadorea; Rhabditida; Metastrongylidae
Source: the annotation of a GenBank genome assembly
GUGUCGCUAAUGCAACGGUUCAGCACGCGCUCGUGGAAAGAGUGAAGUCUGGGUUCAAGUCCCAGCUGACGCA